RNAcentral lists this ribosomal RNA (253 nucleotides) under uncultured bacterium. RNAcentral's name for it is "partial 16S ribosomal RNA". It matches the Rfam family "Bacterial small subunit ribosomal RNA", at positions 524 to 776 of the family's 1533-position model. The record is from RNAcentral.
UACGUAGGGGGCAAGCGUUGUCCGGAUUUACUGGGCGUAAAGAGCUCGUAGGCGGAGAUCUAAGCGUGGCCUGAAAGCCCCCGGCUCAACCGGGGAGUGCGGCUGCGAACUGGGUUUCUUGAGGACGAUAGAGGAGAGUGGAAUUCCUGGUGUAGCGGUGAAAUGCGUAGAUAUCAGGAGGAACACCCGAGGCGAAGGCGGCUCUCUGGGUCGUACCUGACGCUGAGGCGCGAAAGCGUGGGGAGCGAACGGG